Molecule: non-coding RNA, 669 nt
Organism: Lepisosteus oculatus (spotted gar)
Lineage: Eukaryota; Metazoa; Chordata; Actinopteri; Semionotiformes; Lepisosteidae
Source: RefSeq, a predicted model, not a curated record
GAGCGGCGGCCGUUUUCCCGCCCUGACGCGGCUCCGCUCGCCCACCGCCCGUAGAGCCCCGAGUCGCCGCGGUUAUUAACUUUUUUUUUAAAAGUAAAAAAAAAACCCCAAACAAACAAAAAAAGUGUAUCGACUGUACCGCUACAGAGGGCUGUGUGUUUAAAUGUAAUUAAACACGUGUCGGCACAUGUUACAGAACGUCUCCCUCAGACUGAAACACCGGAGAGUCGCGUACCGAGGUCAUGGGGGAGCUGGAGCCUAUCCCAGCAAGCAAACGGAGCAGGCAGGGGACACUCUGGACGGGACACCAGUCUUGAAUAGACACGAUACAGGAUUGUGCUCUUGCGUUUACCUGUUGAAUUUUUCCAAUCUGGUUCUUUGUCCGAAAGGAGGAGGGUAAAGAGGAACAGGGCUUGGGCACCUCUACGCCUCCCAGUCACAGCUCACUGUGCCCCCAGGGAGAAAGAUUUUUUUUGUGAUCUGCAUCCUGUUUCUUUGACGAAAAGGGGGCAAAGGGAAGACAAAGAAGACAGGCUUCUCUCCACCUCCCAGUGACGGCUCAUUGUGCCCACGAGGGAGAAAGAUGACGCCACUGCUCCAGCCAACCUCGGACUGAAUUGGCAGGUCUUGUGAAAGAAACGCACAUCACCUAUAACCAGAUUCUUGAAU